AAGAAUGAAUGUUUAGAUAAGAAUUACACCUCAUGCAUCAUGGUGGCUUAAUUUUCCUCCACAAUUAUAAGUGAAAACGUGGGCUUUAGUGAAAGUAAAAAUGUGGCCUUUCAAUUCACCAUAUAGAGGUAGAGUGGAACCACUAUAAAUAGGACACUAACCCUUCCUAUUUUGCACACAACCAUCACUUUCGGCAACCUGCUUACUGAAGGUAUCCUAGAUGAAGGUGAUUGCUCGAGUUAUUUUGGAAAGCUUCAAGUUAGUGCAGGAUACUAAGACCUCCAGUUGAAGUUCAUUGAGGAAAGGAAAAUGGCAUUGUGAGAGACAUUAAAAUAAAGAACGUUAGUGCUGAUUGGUGGUCUAGUUUUAUUUUUGGAGUCCGAAGAGAAGAUCUCUUUGAUAUGUAUUGAUGAUGUCAUUGGACUGAAUGACAGGCAUCUGUGGUGUUUGACCAGCUCGUGAUUAUUUGUGGGUUAGAGUCUUUUGUAGGAAUUUAUCUUUUUAUCAUUUUAAAUUGAAAAAUUGUACGAUACUUAUGUGAAUUGGAAAUGUUUUAUAUUUGAAAA
Trifolium pratense (red clover) is the source of this 566-nucleotide long non-coding RNA. RefSeq lists it as uncharacterized. Lineage: Eukaryota; Viridiplantae; Streptophyta; Magnoliopsida; Fabales; Fabaceae. The transcript is spliced from 3 exons. The record is from RefSeq and is a predicted model, not a curated record.